RNAcentral lists this unclassified non-coding RNA (3047 nucleotides) under Eurytemora carolleeae. RNAcentral describes it as "uncharacterized LOC111705263". The record is from RNAcentral. Lineage: Eukaryota; Metazoa; Arthropoda; Copepoda; Calanoida; Temoridae.
UAUGACAGCUCCAGCUCUUGCGGAGUUGCGCAGAACUAUUAGUUGUGUUUACACUGGGAAUAUUGACGGACAAUUCUUUGCGUAAAGUUUGCAUAAUUAGUUAAGAAGACUCAAGAUGUCCGGAAUGUUAUGGGAAGCAGACAAGCAGCCGAAUAUCUGCGAAGCAGCUUCAGGAUUCACCUUCUCUACCAUCAAUCUACUGAUCGCUAUCCCUAUGUUCCUCUUGGAUCUUGUGAUCACCACUCUCUCAUCCAUCCUCUCCCUUACCUACCUCGCCCUCAACCCCCUGCUGGAGUACAGUCUGGAGUUCCUGGGAGUUGUGUGUGAACUUCUGGGAAUAGAUUCAGUUCCCUCGAACUUGAGUAUAGUUAUGAGCCUGCUAGCCUGUGGUCUGGUGUAUAGAGUAUACCAGGAGGUUGGACCUAGUUCCGGGGGCUCCUGGCAGCAGGUUCUCAGUAAACUUAUCUACUAUUCAACCUGUGUUCUCUGGUUUAUGACGGUACUCCAGGUCACAAGGUUUGAAGCUGCAUCUUCUCCAGAGUUGAUUUAUAUUUAUUUCGCUGUAUCUGCUGCCUCUGAGAUGUUGAAUCUCUUCUUCAAGGAGUUAAAUAUGUUCAGGCAUGAUGUGAACAAGAGUGAGGUUCAGGUCUCGGGAGAGAAGUACGCCGACAUGAUCAAAUAUGAAAGCUUUUGGUUUCUACUUCUCUCUGCGUUUGGAGUUCCAACCUUAACCCAGGAGGAUUCUGCUUCUCAAUAUAUUUUCCUAGUUCCGGUUUUAGCUUUUGUUCUUAUGCUCCGGGAUGUUCAGAAAGCUGCUCCCCAACAACCUACUAUGAAUGGAGCUACUGUUAAAGAAACAGUUCUUGAUAAUGUGUCCGAACCAGUUGAACCGAUUGAAGUAGAGAAACCAGUAGAAGAACCUAAAGCUGAAACUAUUAUUGAAGAACCAGCAGCCAAAGAGUUUGAUACAGCAGCAGAGACUGAAACUGAACCUGAACCUGUCAUUCCAGUUGUUCCUAGUGCAGAACCCGAGGAACCUGCUGCUGAUGCCCCAGAUUCUAUGAAUGUAACUAAAGUUGAAGCAAAGGAUGAUCUUGUUGUUGCUAAACUGGUUUGUAUGCUGACCAGCCUGGUCGGAAACCUGGUGAACAAGGUUAAAGUUGUGUUCAACCCUGUCAUGAACCUGACAGUGAAGUGUGUUGGUAUUGUGAGUAAUCUACCCUGGUGUGCAUGCAUAACCACGACCAUUAACAAUGGCUCAUUCAUCCUCGCUGCCCUCGCCUGGUUCCAGAUGACAGGGAACCAGCUCUCUCUUCUCCUCCCUCUCCUCUCCCUCAUACUACCCGCCCUUAUAGAGCAGGUUGGAACCAGGAUACCAUCUCCUUACAGAGGAUUGGCAAAAGAAGUUGUUUUCGCUGGAACAGUUCUAACAGAGUACGCUCUCGUCACAGGGAGUUUAAUCCUCUAAUGUGGAAAAAUCUGUACAGGGAGUUUAAUCCUCUAACAUGGAAUAUUCUGUACAGGGAGUUUAAUCCUCUAACAUGGAAUAUUCUGUACAGGGAGCUUAAUCCUCUAACAUGGAAUAUUCUGUACAGGGAGUAUAAUCCUCUAAAUAUGGAAUAUUCUGUACAAAGAGUUUAAUCCUCUAACAUGGAAUAGUCUGUACAAGGAGUUUAAUCCUCUGAACAUGGAAUAUUCUGUACAGGGAGUAUAAUCCUCUAAAUAUGGAAUAUUCUGUACAUGGAGUUUAAUCCUCUAAAUAUGGAAUAUUCUGUACAGGGAGUUUAAUCCUCUAAAUAUGGAAUAUUCUGUACAGGGAGUUUAAUCUUCUAACAUGGAAUAUUCUGUACAGGGAGUUUAAUCCUCAAAAUAUGGAAUAUUCUGUACAAGGAGUUUAAUCCUCUGAACCUGAAAAACUUUAAACAAAGAGUUUAAUUUUGUUUUAAAAACUCUAAUGACAAGGAGAAAUUUUUGAGUCUGCUACAAUUCUCUAUUGCUCUAAAGUCUUAGACUGCAUCUGUAUCAAAGUACAAAAAUUAUCUAAUCAAAAUAUAUUUACCCAUUGAUUGACAUUAUGUAUAGUUGAAAAUAUCUUAGAAAAUCGCAAACUAACUUAAGUAAUGAAAUCUGAAAAUAAAAUUUAAUUUCAGAUCAAAUUCUCCGAAAGUAUUGCGAUAUUUUUCUAUGAUGUUCCAAUUAUGUAACGGCUUUAAAUGCCUUUUAUGCUAUCAGUACCUUCACCUAAUAAGAUGAAUCUACUUCUGUAGAAAACCAAAUACGUCUUUCUCUAAACAAUUAUCAGUUAUGACAAAGAAUAUUAAUUAUUUUCAAGAUUUAUUCAAAAUUUUUUUAGUUCAUAUAAUUUGUUCACAAACAUUGAUAAUGAAUAUUCUUCAUGAUUUUUUAAUUCUCCUGCCAAAAAGUAACAAAUAUUUUUAGAUCUCUUAUCUUCUAAUAAUCUCUGAAAGUACAAAGUAAAGUCUAACCAUUAAACCAAAGUAUGUUUUGAAACACUACAAAGUAUGCAACAAAAAGUACAAAUUUUUCAUCGUAUAUAAAAAAUGUAUUAAAAAUGCUCAGUUUCUUGUUUAUAGUUUUCAAAAAAGUUAAAUGUAGUCUAGUAUUUUGAGAUCUAUCACAUUUUUUUUUAAAUCAACUCAUAUCAAGAUGAGUUUAUUUCAAUCUUUGACUUUUUUUAUUAAUGAAAGUCCGCAGGAUUUAUGUUAUUCAUGAUAGUUGUUACUCCAUAAGUGUGUUUGUCAAGAUGAUUGAAAUUAGGUCAGAAUAGUUCAGUUUAGGUCAGAAUAGUUCAGGUUAGGUCAGAAUAGUUCAGGUUAGGUCAGAAUAGUUCAGGCUAGGUCACGAAAAAAAAGUUCAGGUUAGACCAUGUUAGAAGAGAAACGUGCUGACUGCUGAUCAAAUGGAAAAGAUAGGGAUAGAUAUUGUUGGUUUGCUAAAAAUUAAGCAUAGCAUAAAUUUCUGCGAUACAUCUUAAUUCUCAUUAAAUAUUGUAUGAAUUUUUUUAAAUAAACGAUUUUUAAAAAGCA